RNAcentral lists this ribosomal RNA (1423 nucleotides) under Methanobacteriota archaeon. RNAcentral's name for it is "Euryarchaeota archaeon (hot springs metagenome) partial 23S ribosomal RNA". It matches the Rfam family "Archaeal large subunit ribosomal RNA", at positions 14 to 1481 of the family's 2987-position model. The record is from RNAcentral. Lineage: Archaea; Methanobacteriati; Methanobacteriota.
GUACGUAGGCCACUUGAUGGAUGGCUCGGCUCGGGCACCGAUGAAGACCGUGCCAAGCUGCGAUAUGCUUCGGGGAGGCGCAGGGAGCCCAAGAUCCGAAGAUCGUCGAAUGGGAAUUCCUUUCCCAUAUGGGAAACUCCCGAAAGGGAGGGGGAACCCCGGGAAUCGAAACAUCCUAGUACCGGGUGGAAAAGAAACCAACAGGGAUGCCGUUAGUAAGGGCGACCGAAAGCGGCAGAGGGCAAACCGAAUAGUCUGUCGAAAGACAGGAAAGAUGUGGAGUACGGAGUCAGGCUAAUGCCUAGGAUAGGAAGUCUAAGUUUCUGGAAAGUUACACCUUAGAGGGUGAUAGUCCCGUGGACGUAUCUAUCCAAGCUACAAGCUUGAAUUUCCAGAGUACCGUGCGUCGGUUUUCGCGCGGGAAUACGGGUCUCACUAAGAUCCAACCCUAAAUAUGUCCCGAGUCCGAUAGUAUACUAGUACCGCGAGGGAAAGCUGAAAAGUAGCCCGAAAGGGUGGUGAAAAGGACCUGAAACCAAGUGGCUAUUAACUGGCAAUGCAUGGAAGAGAUGAAGUCUAUGACUGAUCAGUGUGUUGCCGUCCGUGUUGAAGAACGGGCCAGGGAGUUCUAAUCAGCGGCGAGGCUAAUUCUUGAAAAGAAGGAGCCGGAGCGAAAGCAACAUGCCCGCACCGCAAGGGAGGGGCGACGUGAGCUCGCGUGAAGUCGCUGGUGGGAGACCCGAAGCCGGUCGAUCUAAUCCUGGGCAGGUUGAAGCCUAGCGAAAGCUGGGUGGAGGACCGACCCGGUUCUGAUGUGCAAAUCGUUCGGUUGACCUGGGAUUAGGGGUUAAAGGCUAAUCUAGGCCGGUAAUAGCGGGUUCCCCUCGAGACUACCCGCAGGUAGACCUGGGCAGAGGCGUCUGGUGGCGUAGAGAAAUGUAUAGGGCAAGCUAACCCGAAAGGGUUGGCCCUCUUAACAAACUCCGAAUCCGCCAGAGCCGUAGAAGCCUGGUGCUAGGGGAUCGGGAUAAGCUUGAUCCCCGAGAGGAGAAGAAUUCAGACGAAGGUUAAGGUCCCUAAGUUAUGGUUAAGUGUAAACUAAAGGAUGUUCGUGACCCAAGACAAUUGGGAGGUUGGCUUAGAAGCAGCCAUCCUUUAAAGAGUGCGUAAUAGCUCACCCAUCGAGGUCACAGGCUCCGAAGAUGGACGGGACUAAACCAUACACCGAUACCUUCGGACACCGAAAGGUGAUUCGGUAGAGGGGCGUGCUGCCGGGGCAGAAGUAUCUUCGAAAGGAGGUAUGGACCCGACAGUAUCGUGGAUCCUGGUGAAAGUAGCAGCAUAGAGUCGUGAGAAUCGACUCCGCCGAAAGGGCUAAGGGUUCCUCGGCAACGAUCGUCAGCCGAGGGUUAGCCGGUCCUAA